UACGUAGGGUCCGAGCGUUAAUCGGAAUUACUGGGCGUAAAGCGUGCGCAGGCGGUUCGCAAAGACAGGUGUGAAAUCCCCGGGCUUAACCUGGGAACUGCGUUUGUAACUAGCGGGCUAGAGUGCGGCAGAGGGGGGGUGGAAUUCCACGUGUAGCAGUGAAAUGACGUAGAUAUGUGGAGGAACACCGAUGGCGCAAGGCAGCCCCCUGGGAGUAG
Molecule: ribosomal RNA, 218 nt
Filed under: uncultured bacterium
Lineage: Bacteria
Description: partial 16S ribosomal RNA
Rfam family: Bacterial small subunit ribosomal RNA
Source: RNAcentral